ACGUUGAAAACACCUAUUUCCGUACGAUCACUGAAGUUAAGCAACGUCAACCCUGGUCAGUACCUAGAAGGGUGACCAAUUGAGAAUACCAGGUGCU
Molecule: non-coding RNA, 97 nt
Organism: Acanthosepion pharaonis
Lineage: Eukaryota; Metazoa; Mollusca; Cephalopoda; Sepiida; Sepiidae
Source: the annotation of a GenBank genome assembly